AUUUGUUUUGUUUAUUUAAUUCACAGCGAAAGCUUUUUAAAAAAGUAAUGUCUCCUGGGGAAAUGGCAGCUACAUCAUCAGAAUUUGAAAAAGAGGAAAAGAGGGGAUACCUUAGAAAAAGUCCAUAGGAAAAUGAGAGAAGUUGAGCCAUCUGGCUGCUGGCACCCUACUCCCUCCUCCUCCAAGCCUCUUCCCCUUCACCAGUAAGAACAUUCCCAACUCAGGACCCAGAGUAGCAAGACAGGAGCUGCUUGUCUUGCAGUACCAACCAUCGCUUUCUCUGCAGUGCUCUUGGAACCCAGCCACUAUGCUGCAAAGAAACGCAGACCACAGGCAGAAGCCUCAUAUAAGAGUUCUGGCUGAGGGUCUCGACUGAGGGCUCAGUUGAUGGCCACUAUCAACUACCAGAUACAUGAAUGAAGAAGGUUUUGAGAUGAUUCCAACUCCAGCCCUCAUCUGGCAAGUAAAUGAGAGACCCUGAGUGAAACCUGCCAACCUGAGCAAAG
This 506-nucleotide long non-coding RNA is filed under the name Homo sapiens (human). Its description in RNAcentral is "HSALNT0086649". Lineage: Eukaryota; Metazoa; Chordata; Mammalia; Primates; Hominidae. The record is from RNAcentral.